RNAcentral lists this long non-coding RNA (933 nucleotides) under Homo sapiens (human). RNAcentral describes it as "HSALNT0310931". Lineage: Eukaryota; Metazoa; Chordata; Mammalia; Primates; Hominidae. The record is from RNAcentral.
GGGGCCAAAGGAGUGGGGUUGGCAGUUCCAGGUGGAGCCAUGGGGGUUAGACAUGCAGAAAACUCAAAAAGAGAUCUCAAAAGGCCAAUCUACAAUAGUGGUAUUUGCUCUUGUAAUUCAGCUACCAUGUUGUGAGGAAGCUCAGGCAACCCAUGUAGAGGCUUAUAUGGAGAAAACAAAGACACCCAGUCCAGAGCUCAACUGAGCAUCCAGCCAAUAACCAGACCAACUUGAAAGCCAUGUGAGUGAACCAGCUUGAAUGAGUGUCUUCCAGCCCCCACUUGAUGUGAAACCGCCUUUGCAAAAAUUAUAACUGAGAAAAUUAUUAGAGUCAAAGAGAUCUGACCUAACCAACUCCAUCUUGCUUCUAACCUCCAAGUUGUCUUUGUUCAUUCCUGGGCUGAACUAACUUUAGGAGGAACUUUGAUUAUAGUUUAACUUUGAAACAAAGAUGAUAACAGCCCUUUCCCAAAGCAAACCUGCUUCCUGCCUGGGGAAGCUGCCCCACUGCCUUUUUAGGACUAACAAACUAAACACAAGAUUAGAAACUAUGGUUUAGUAGUCAUGCAGCUGAAGGCUACAAGAUUUUGACCCUCCCCAAAUUGCUCCUGGGGAUAACAUCACUACUAUAAAACCUAAGAUCAGUGUUAGGGAUAUUUUGCAGACCCUGCACUUGAUGGAUCAGCUGGCACCAUCCAGAUUGAUAAACUGGCUCAUUUGGUCUCGUGGACCCCACCCAGGAACUGACUCAGUGCAAGAGGACAGCUUGUACUCUCUAUAAUUGCACCUUCAACCCGACCAAUCAGCACUUCUGACUCACUGGCCCCUAGCCACCAAAUUGUCCUUAAAAAACCCAAUCCCCCAAUUUUAGAUUUGAAUAAUAAUAAAAGUCUGGUCUCCCAUACAGCCAGCUCUGAGUAAAUUAAACUCUUU